Molecule: ribosomal RNA, 460 nt
Filed under: uncultured bacterium
Lineage: Bacteria
Description: partial 16S ribosomal RNA
Rfam family: Bacterial small subunit ribosomal RNA
Source: RNAcentral
CCUACGGGAGGCAGCAGUGAGGAAUAUUGGUCAAUGGACGGAAGUCUGAACCAGCCAUGCCGCGUGCAGGAAGACGGCUCUAUGAGUUGUAAACUGCUUUUGUACAAGGGUAAACCUGAAUACGUGUAUUCAGCUGAAAGUACUGUACGAAUAAGAAUCGGCUAACUCCGUGCCAGCAGCCGCGGUAAUACGGAGGAUCCAAGCGUUAUCCGGAUUUAUUGGGUUUAAAGGGUGCGUAGGCGGAUUGAUAAGUUAGAGGGGAAAUGUCCGAGCUUAACUCGGGAACUGCCUCUACUACUGUUGAUCUAGAGAGUAGAUGCGGUAGGCGGAAUGUAUGGUGUAGCGGUGAAAUGCUUAGAGAUCAUACAGAACACCGAUUGCGAAGGCAGCUUACCAAUCUAUAUCUGACGUUGAGGCACGAAAGCGUGGGGAGCAAACAGGAUUAGAUACCCCUGUAGUC